AUGCAAAAUUUCCCGACCCCUCUAGAACGACCGCCCCUGCCGAGGAGCCGACCGACGGGCGAAGCGGGAGGGAGGCGAUGGCGGCGGCUUGGGGGCAGAAGGCCCUGGGGGCUCUGCCGCAGCUGGUGAAGUCGCUGCGGAGUGAUCCCGUCUCCGGCAGCGCACGACACAGGCGCCUUCCGUCUCUCAGGAGGACCUUCUCGUUGUACGAUCAGAUCAACCUCAUCGACAGCGUCCCGGAAGACGAGCUCCGAUUCCAGUCGUAUGAUGACACUGGAUUCAAAAUUAACAAUGUAAAAUAUGAAGGCAGUGUAUUGAUUGUAGAGAACAAGAUAAUGACAUGGGCACCCAAAACGUUCUCAGAGAUAACUCCUGAAAGUUUAUCAAUCUUCAAAGUUGUGCACCCUAUCCCAGAGAUCUUUAUUCUUGGUUGCGGAAGACACGUCCAGCUGGUCAGUCCUGAGCUGCGGAUGUUCAUUCGGUCAACUGGAAUGAAACUAGAAGCAGUUGAUUCGAGGAAUGCAGCUUCAACAUAUAAUAUCCUGAACGAGGAGGGCAGGCCGGUGGCAGCUGCAGUUCUUCCCUAUGGAGUCACUUGUUAAUGUUUUAUCUUCUAUACCAGUUGGGCAGGCGUUCUCUCUUUAUAAUCGAUAACCAACUGAGCUUUGUUUCGUUCGUGCUGUUUCUUGGAAGUUCUAUAUCUGUCAUGCAUGUCCAAAGUAGAGUUGUCUAUCUUCCUGCUUUUCUACUUCCUCUAGCAAGCCCAGAUGCACAGACUGUUGGUAUGUUUUGGUUGCCGAGGGUACAAUCAUACAUACAGGCGAAACACUUGCCACUCUGCUACGAACUGGGACGUGCGCCCGCCUGGCGACUGGCGAGGACCACGGAGUCACGGACCCGGCUGUUUUGCCUUCUGUUGAUCGUCCUAAUUUCAGGGCUCAGGCAGGCAGACGCGAUGGGAUCCUACGUGGUAGGAGUACUCGCCAGUUCAGAUCUCGCGGGUUAAUAUUUACUGUCACGUCAUGUUGUAUCACUAUCGACCAUAUACUAUAAAUUAUGUAAUUGAUUUUUGUCAGUGUUUAUCUGUGUUUA
RNA transcript from Zea mays, 1092 nucleotides. RefSeq lists it as uncharacterized. The record is from RefSeq and is a predicted model, not a curated record. NCBI's taxonomy places the organism in Eukaryota, Viridiplantae, Streptophyta, Magnoliopsida, Poales, Poaceae. The transcript has 6 exons.